Molecule: ribosomal RNA, 506 nt
Filed under: uncultured bacterium
Lineage: Bacteria
Description: partial 16S ribosomal RNA
Rfam family: Bacterial small subunit ribosomal RNA
Source: RNAcentral
AGUGAACGCUGGCGGUAGGCCUAACACAUGCAAGUCGAACGGCAGCACAGGAGAGCUUGCUCUCUGGGUGGCGAGUGGCGGACGGGUGAGGAAUACAUCGGAAUCUACUCUGUCGUGGGGGAUAACGUAGGGAAACUUACGCUAAUACCGCAUACGACCUACGGGCGAAAGCAGGGGACCUUCGGGCCUUGCGCGAUUGAAUGAGCCGAUGUCGGAUUAGCUAGUUGGCGGGGUAAAGGCCCACUAAGGCGACGAUCCGUAGCUGGUCUGAGGGGAGGAUCAGCCACACUGGAACUGGGACACGGUCCAGACUCCUACGGGAGGAAGCAGUGGGGAAUAUUGGACAAUGGGCGCAAGCCUGAUCCAGCCAUGCCGCGUGGGUGAAGAAGGCCUUCGGGUUGUAAAGCCCUUUUGUUGGGAAAGAAGUCCAGCUGGCUAAUACCCGGUUGGGAUGACGGUACCCAAAGAAUAAGCACCGGCUAACUUCGUGCCAGCCGCCGCCGUAA